CCUACGGGUGACAGCAGUGGGGAAUAUUGCACAAUGGGGGAAAGCCUGAUGCAGCGAAGCCGCGUGAAGGAAGAAGUAUUUCGGUAUGUAAACCUCUAUUAGCAGGGAAGAAAGUGACGGUACCUGACUAAGAAUCCCCGGCUCACUACGUGCCGGCAGCCGCGGUACUACGUCGGGGGCAAGGGUUAUCCGGAUUUACUGGGUGUAAAGGGGACGUAGGCGGCGAUGCAAGUCAGAAGUGAAAGCCCGGGGCUAAACUCCGGGACUGCUUUUGAAACUGUAUGGCUAGAUUGCAGGAGAGGCAAGUGGAAUGCCUAGUGUAGCGGUGAAAUGCGUAGAUAUUAGGAGGAACACCAGUGGCGAAGGCGGCUUGCUGGACUGUAAAUGACGCUGAGGCUCGAAAGCGUGGGGAGCAAACAGGAUUAGAUACCCCUGUAGUC
Molecule: ribosomal RNA, 440 nt
Filed under: uncultured bacterium
Lineage: Bacteria
Description: partial 16S ribosomal RNA
Rfam family: Bacterial small subunit ribosomal RNA
Source: RNAcentral